RNAcentral lists this ribosomal RNA (730 nucleotides) under uncultured bacterium. RNAcentral describes it as "bacterial SSU rRNA". It matches the Rfam family "Bacterial small subunit ribosomal RNA", at positions 586 to 1312 of the family's 1533-position model. The record is from RNAcentral.
CGUCGGAAGUGUAAUCUUGGGGCUUAACCCUGAGCGUGCUUUCGGUACGGGUUGACUUGAGGAAGGUAGGGGAGAAUGGAAUUCCUGGUGGAGCGGUGGAAUGCGCAGAUAUCAGGAGGAACACCAGUGGCGAAGGCGGUUCUCUGGGCCUUUCCUGACGCUGAGGAGCGAAAGCGUGGGGAGCGAACAGGCUUAGAUACCCUGGUAGUCCACGCUGUAAACGGUGGGUACUAGGUGUGGGGUCCAUUCCACGGGUUCCGUGCCGUAGCUAACGCUUUAAGUACCCCGCCUGGGGAGUACGGCCGCAAGGCUAAAACUCAAAGGAAUUGACGGGGCCCCGCACAAGCGGCGGAGCAUGCGGAUUAAUUCGAUGCAACGCGUAGAACCUUACCUGGGUUUGACAUGGAUCGGGAGUGCUCAGAGAUGGGUGUGCCUCUUUUGGGGUCGGUUCACAGGUGGUGCAUGGCUGUCGUCAGCUCGUGUCGUGAGAUGUUGGGUUAAGUCCCGCAACGAGCGCAACCCUUGUUCACUGUUGCCAGCACGUUAUGGUGGGGACUCAGUGGAGACCGCCGGGGUCAACUCGGAGGAAGGUGGGGAUGACGUCAAGUCAUCAUGCCCCUUAUGUCCAGGGCUUCACGCAUGCUACAAUGGCUGGUACAGAGAGUGGCGAGCCUGUGAGGGUGAGCGAAUCUCGGAAAGCCGGUCUCAGUUCGGAUUGGGGUCUGCAACU